ACUCUUCAUUCUUCAUUCGAAACUCAUGAAUGUUGUAUCGGAGGUUUCUGCCUUGUUAUAACGGUUAUUCUCCUAUUUGUGACCUAUUUUGAUAUAAUUUAAACAGGCAACGCUACGAUGCAUUAUUCAAGAUAAAGAAACAGUUUGAGUUAUGCAUCGAUCCUUAUCCAAUUUGUCCACCCUAAAAGAAAAUUCAUGCAUUCCUCCUAACUAAAGUGGGUUGUAACCUUUUUUCCAUGUCAAUCUUGAGUAGCAUACAGUCAUGAUACUAAAUACAGUCUAUGUGACAGCAUGUACAAAUGUAGUCCCCAGCUGCACCGCCAUGUUUCUUAUAUGUAGCGACUCUGUGCAGUUGGCCACAUAGAUUAAUGGAAUGAUGGUCCUCUUU
This 388-nucleotide long non-coding RNA is filed under the name Phoenix dactylifera (date palm). RNAcentral's name for it is "long non-coding RNA (PDAC_LNC013199)". Lineage: Eukaryota; Viridiplantae; Streptophyta; Magnoliopsida; Arecales; Arecaceae. The record is from RNAcentral.